AGAGUUUGAUCCUGGCUCAGAACGAACGCUGGCGGCAGGCCUAAUACAUGCAAGUCGAGCGCGCCCUUCGGGGUGAGCGGCGGACGGGUGAGUAACGCGUGGGAAUAUGCCCUUCUCUAAGGAAUAGCCUCGGGAAACUGAGAGUAAUACCUUAUACGCCCUUCGGGGGAAAGAUUUAUCGGAGAAGGAUUAGCCCGCGUUAGAUUAGGUAGUUGGUGGGGUAAUGGCCUACCAAGCCUACGAUCUAUAGCUGGUUUGAGAGGAUGAUCAGCCACACUGGGACUGAGACACGGCCCAGACUCCUACGGGAGGCAGCAGUAGGGAAUCUUAGACAAUGGGGGAAACCCUGAUCUAGCCAUGCCGCGUGUGUGAUGAAGGCCUUAGGGUCGUAAAGCACUUUCGCCAGAGAUGAUAAUGACAGUAUCUGGUAAAGAAACCCCGGCUAACUCCGUGCCAGCAGCCGCGGUAAUACGGAGGGGGUUAGCGUUGUUCGGAAUUACUGGGCGUAAAGCGUACGUAGGCGGAUUAGUAAGUUAGAGGUGAAAUCCCAGGGCUCAACCCUGGAACUGCCUUUAAUACUGCUAGUCUUGAGUUCGAGAGAGGUAAGUGGAAUUCCGAGUGUAGAGGUGAAAUUCGUAGAUAUUCGGAGGAACACCAGUGGCGAAGGCGGCUUACUGGCUCGAUACUGACGCUGAGGUACGAAAGUGUGGGGAGCAAACAGGAUUAGAUACCCUGGUAGUCCACACCGUAAACGAUGAAUGCCAGACGUCAGCAAGUAUAC
This 781-nucleotide ribosomal RNA is filed under the name uncultured bacterium. Its description in RNAcentral is "bacterial SSU rRNA". It matches the Rfam family "Bacterial small subunit ribosomal RNA", at positions 8 to 835 of the family's 1533-position model. The record is from RNAcentral.